UACGGAGGGUGCAAGCGUUAUCCGGAUUUAUUGGGUUUAAAGGGUCCGUAGGCGGAUCUGUAAGUCAGUGGUGAAAUCCCACAGCUUAACUGUGAAACUGCCAUUGAUACUGCAGGUCUUGAGUAAGGUAGAAGUGGCUGGAAUAAGUAGUGUAGCGGUGAAAUGCAUAGAUAUUACUUAGAACACCAAUUGCGAAGGCAGGUCACUAUGUCUUAACUGACGCUGAUGGACGAAAGCGUGGGGAGCGAACAGG
Molecule: ribosomal RNA, 253 nt
Filed under: uncultured bacterium
Lineage: Bacteria
Description: partial 16S ribosomal RNA
Rfam family: Bacterial small subunit ribosomal RNA
Source: RNAcentral